CCGCGAUUCGCCCUUCGGGGUGCACCAGGCGCGAAAACUUUACAAUGCGGGAAACCGUGAUAAGGGAACUCCGAGUGCCCGUAAAAUCGGGCUGUCCAUCUGUUUAAAUAACAGGUGAAGAAAGGGCCGGGCAAGACCGGUGCCAGCCGCCGCGGUAAUACCGGCGGCUCGAGUGGUGGCCACUAUUACUGGGCUUAAAGCGUUCGUAGCUGGUCUGUUAAGUCUCUGGGGAAAUCUACUGGCUUAACCAAUAGGCGUUUCAGGGAUACUGGCAGACUAGGGACCGGGAGAGGUGAGGGGUACUCCAGGGGUAGGAGUGAAAUCCUGUAAUCCUUGGGGGACCACCUGUGGCGAAGGCGCCUCACCAGAACGGCUCCGACAGUGAGGGACGAAAGCUGGGGGAGCAAACCGGAUUAGAUACCCGGGUAGUCCCAGCCGUAAACGAUGCGCGUUAGGUGUAUCGGUGACCACGAGUCACCGAGGUGCCGAAGAGAAAUCGUGAAACGUGCCGCCUGGGAAGUACGGUCGCAAGGCUGAAACUUAAAGGAAUUGGCGGGGGAGCAC
Molecule: ribosomal RNA, 564 nt
Filed under: uncultured archaeon
Lineage: Archaea
Description: bacterial SSU rRNA
Rfam family: Archaeal small subunit ribosomal RNA
Source: RNAcentral